UAAAGACCUUGACUUGGUAGCAUUUAUUCAUAGACACUUGAGCAGAAAAAACACAUCUCAGCAAUGCUUCCUCAGAGAAAGCACAUGCAUAUGUGGUUGGACUUCUGAUAUGUGUUGUCAUACUGCUUCUCCAUCUUACUGAUUAGUUCCUGUGUGAUUGAUAUGGAAAAUCUGAGCAACUGACUACCACACAGUUAUGAGCCAUCAUACAGCAACAUGGAUGGAUGUAGAAGCUGUCAUACUGAGUGAAGUACGUCAGACACAGAAAGACAAGUGUCGUAUGAUACCACUUAUCUGUGUAAUCUAAAACAAAGGAUACAAACAAACUUAUUUACAGAGCAGAAGGAGAGUCACAGAUGUAGGAAACAAAGUUUUGGUUACUACAAGCUAAAGAAAACAGAAGAUCGAGACAGGCUAAGUGAAGAUCACAAAGCCAGUCAAUGUGGAGCUGAAUCUGAGACUGAGGACUUCUAAUGCUUGGUUCAAAGAGCAAGCAGGAGAUAAAAUAGUAGCGUACUGGAUUCAUUAAA
Bos taurus (domestic cattle) is the source of this 530-nucleotide long non-coding RNA. The record is from Ensembl. Lineage: Eukaryota; Metazoa; Chordata; Mammalia; Artiodactyla; Bovidae.